Molecule: unclassified non-coding RNA, 329 nt
Filed under: soil metagenome
Description: partial contains 5.8S ribosomal RNA, internal transcribed spacer 2, and large subunit ribosomal RNA
Rfam family: 5.8S ribosomal RNA (bases 1-120)
Source: RNAcentral
GAUGAAGAACGCAGCGAAAUGCGAUAAGUAAUGUGAAUUGCAGAAUUCAGUGAAUCAUCGAAUCUUUGAACGCACAUUGCGCCCCUUGGUAUUCCGAGGGGCAUGCCUGUUCGAGCGUCAUUAUAACCCCUCAAGCUCAGCUUGGUGUUGGGGCCUGCUGCACUGGCAGCCCUUAAAAUCAGUGGCGGCGCCAUCUGGCUCUAAGCGUAGUAAUUCUUCUCGCUAUGGAGUCCUGGUGGAUGCUUGACAUCAACCCCCAAUUUUUCUAUGGUUGACCUCGGAUCAGGUAGGGAUACCCGCUGAACUUAAGCAUAUCAAUAAGCGGAGGA